UCCCAACGCCCAGAUGAUCCUGUUUAAGAGA
Molecule: non-coding RNA, 31 nt
Filed under: Mus musculus (house mouse)
Lineage: Eukaryota; Metazoa; Chordata; Mammalia; Rodentia; Muridae
Source: RNAcentral